RNAcentral lists this ribosomal RNA (433 nucleotides) under uncultured bacterium. RNAcentral describes it as "partial 16S ribosomal RNA". It matches the Rfam family "Bacterial small subunit ribosomal RNA", at positions 29 to 507 of the family's 1533-position model. The record is from RNAcentral.
AACGAACGCUGGCGGCAUGCCUAACACAUGCAAGUCGAACGAGACCUUCGGGUCUAGUGGCGCACGGGUGCGUAACGCGUGGGAACCUGCCCUUAGGUUCGGAAUAACUCCCCGUAAGGGGUGCUAAUACCGGAUAAUGUCUUCGGACCAAAGAUUUAUCGCCUUUGGAUGGGCCCGCGUUGGAUUAGCUAGUUGGUAGGGUAAAAGCCUACCAAGGCGACGAUCCAUAGCUGGUCUGAGAGGAUGACAAGCCACACUGGGACUGAGACACGGCCCAGACUCCGACGGAAGGCAGCAGUGGGGAAUAUUGGACGAUGGGCGAAAGCCUGAUCCAGCAAUGCCGCGUGAGUGAGGAAGGCCUUAGGGUUGUAAAGCUCUUUUACCCGGGAUGAUAAUGACAGUACCGGGAGAAUAAGCACCGGCUAACUCCGUG